RNAcentral lists this transfer RNA (76 nucleotides) under Anaerobiospirillum sp. RNAcentral's name for it is "tRNA-Ala". It matches the Rfam family "tRNA". From Rfam's summary of the family: Transfer RNA (tRNA) molecules are approximately 80 nucleotides in length. Their secondary structure includes four short double-helical elements and three loops (D, anti-codon, and T loops). Further hydrogen bonds mediate the characteristic L-shaped molecular structure. tRNAs have two regions of fundamental functional importance: the anti-codon, which is responsible for specific mRNA codon recognition, and the 3' end, to which the tRNAs corresponding amino acid is attached (by aminoacyl-tRNA synthetases). tRNAs cope with the degeneracy of the genetic code in two manners: having more than one tRNA (with a specific anti-codon) for a particular amino acid; and 'wobble' base-pairing, i.e. permitting non-standard base-pairing at the 3rd anti-codon position. Lineage: Bacteria; Pseudomonadati; Pseudomonadota; Gammaproteobacteria; Aeromonadales; Succinivibrionaceae. The record is from RNAcentral.
GGGGGUUUAGCUCAGUUGGUAGAGCUUCUGCCACGCAAGCAGAGGGUCAACGGUUCGAUUCCGUUAACCUCCACCA